GAACAUCCGCAAUAAAAUGCAGGUAAGAACUUGGUGAAAAAGGAUGUGGAAUUUUGCAAACAACCUGAUCCCUGGUGCAACAGUAAUACAAGAUGUUAGAAAUUAAUCCAACCGCAAACAAUCACUUAGUCUAAACAGUAUAAGUAUUAAAACCUGUUAGAAACAAUUCCCGCAGCUUUCCACAUUCCCUGAUUAGCAGCACCCAUGUCACUGACAAUGGCGUUUACAAGAUAUCCACGAUUUCCAAGUUCCAUUACGAGUUGCUUUGUCAAACACCACAACUCUUUUCCAACAAUUGAGUUUCCAGUGUAAAAAUAUGCUAGAUAUAAAAUAGGAUUUGAAAAGCACACAGUCUUAAUUUAUUAUUAAAUACAUUUUAUUGUGAAAAAGGUCCGGGUAAUUGACCAAACGUAUUUAUUAGCUCCUUUUUAAGUUUUUGUAUAACUUUUUUCGAAACUUUAUGUUAUAAUAUCGCAUCACUCUAAUUGUUUGGUAUGCGGGAUUCAGCUUGCCCUAAAAUUGUUUCAUGGUCUAGUUGCAAAUUCUUGUUUAUGUAUGUAAAGAAUCCCAUUUGAUCAUCUUCCGCAUGACGCACAACUUACUAUUAAAUUGACAUGUGUACAGGCUGCAGCAAGCAAA
Non-coding RNA from Ciona intestinalis (vase tunicate), 639 nucleotides. NCBI's taxonomy places the organism in Eukaryota, Metazoa, Chordata, Ascidiacea, Phlebobranchia, Cionidae. The record is from RefSeq and is a predicted model, not a curated record.